AAACUUGUGUUAUUAAGCAAUAAUGAAACUAUGAGUAUAAGAGAAAUUAUAAUAAAACAUAAAAAUGAAAAAAAAUGAAUGCUAAAAGAAAUAAAAUGCUAUAUAUGGGUAUCGAACCCACUCCACUAGAGACCAUGAAACUACCCUCUCUCCACUAGACCAAUUAUGAUUAGCUAUUAUUUACAAAAACAACUUGGGUAUAUGAGCCAGAAAA
This 214-nucleotide long non-coding RNA is filed under the name Lathyrus oleraceus (garden pea). Its description in RNAcentral is "Pisum sativum (pea) long non-coding RNA (PSAT_LNC003996)". Lineage: Eukaryota; Viridiplantae; Streptophyta; Magnoliopsida; Fabales; Fabaceae. The record is from RNAcentral.